This is a long non-coding RNA of Chinchilla lanigera (long-tailed chinchilla), 462 nucleotides long. RefSeq lists it as uncharacterized. Lineage: Eukaryota; Metazoa; Chordata; Mammalia; Rodentia; Chinchillidae. The transcript is spliced from 4 exons. The record is from RefSeq and is a predicted model, not a curated record.
UGCACCACUGAGCUAAAGCCCCAGCCCCAGGCUGGAUAAUUUAUAAAGAGCAGAGUUUUAUUCAGCUCACAGUUUUGCAGCCUGAGAAGCCAAGAAGAUGGCACCAGCAUCUGGUGAGGACUUUUUGCCGGUGGUGACUGCAGAAUCCAGAGGCGCCAUAGGGCAUUAUAAGAAGCAGCUAGGGUUGGAACCACCAAAACCUAGUGCUGGAGCCUUCAAGUGACAAGUCUUGGACUCAUAUUGCCAAGGUGAAGCCCAGCAGGUUCAUUCUUUCUGUUAAGAAUUUCUGCUCUGGAGACACAUGCUGUGGAAGCAUAAAUGAACCCUGCCUUUAGACUCAAAUUGGCCUGGGUUAGAAUGCUAAAGCUGCCGGUUACUCAGCAAACAGUCAAGUUGGGACCUUCUGGAAAACGUGUACAUCAGCACCUAAAGCCUGCACAGGACUCCUCUGCCAGACCCAAG